This 252-nucleotide ribosomal RNA is filed under the name uncultured bacterium. RNAcentral describes it as "partial 16S ribosomal RNA". It matches the Rfam family "Bacterial small subunit ribosomal RNA", at positions 524 to 776 of the family's 1533-position model. The record is from RNAcentral.
CACGGAGGAUGCGAGCGUUAUCCGGAUUUAUUGGGUUUAAAGGGUGCGUAGGCGGGCUUUUAAGUCAGCGGUAAAAAUUCGGGGCUCAACCCCGUCCGGCCGUUGAAACUGGGGGUCUUGAGUGGGCGAGAAGAAGGCGGAAUGCGUGGUGUAGCGGUGAAAUGCAUAGAUAUCACGCAGAACCCCGAUUGCGAAGGCAGCCUUCCGGCGCCCUACUGACGCUGAGGCACGAAAGUGCGGGGAUCGAACAGG